RNAcentral lists this ribosomal RNA (520 nucleotides) under uncultured Glomus. RNAcentral describes it as "SSU rRNA". It matches the Rfam family "Eukaryotic small subunit ribosomal RNA", at positions 569 to 1088 of the family's 1831-position model. Lineage: Eukaryota; Fungi; Glomeromycota; Glomeromycetes; Glomerales; Glomeraceae. The record is from RNAcentral.
AGCAGCCGCGGUAAUUCCAGCUCCAAUAGCGUAUAUUAAAGUUGUUGCAGUUAAAAAGCUCGUAGUUGAAUUUCGGGACCAAUCUGCCGGUCGUGCCUCCGGUACGCACUGGUUUUAUUGGUUUCUCCCUUCUGACGAACCAUGAUGUCAUUAAUUUGGUGUCGUGGGAAAUCAGGACUGUUACUUUGAAAAAAUUUAGAGUGUUUAAAGCAGGCUCACGCUUGAAUACAUUAGCAUGGAAUAAUGAAAUAGGACGUUUGAUUCUAUUUUGUUGGUUUCUAGGAUCGACGUAAUGAUUAAUAGGGAUAGUUGGGGGCAUUAGUAUUCAAUUGUCAGAGGUGAAAUUCUUGGAUUUAUUGAAGACUAACUACUGCGAAAGCAUUUGCCAAGGAUGUUUUCAUUAAUCAAGAACGAAAGUUAGGGGAUCGAAGACGAUCAGAUACCGUCGUAGUCUUAACCAUAAACUAUGCCGACUAGGGAUCGGAUGAUGUUAAUUUUUUUAAUGACUCAUUCGGCGCCU